Long non-coding RNA from Aquila chrysaetos chrysaetos, 624 nucleotides. RefSeq lists it as uncharacterized. The transcript has 2 exons. The record is from RefSeq and is a predicted model, not a curated record. NCBI's taxonomy places the organism in Eukaryota, Metazoa, Chordata, Aves, Accipitriformes, Accipitridae.
GCCGGCACGGGUCGGGCUCUGCUCUCUGGGAUGCUGAAGAGACCCCGAGGGUGAGCCUGUCCGCGUCUGCCUCCUCCGGAGCAGCGCAAGUCAGAGAGUUAAAGAGCGAUGCACAGAGCUAACGAACGAUGCUUCGCCGCCUCACCUGGCACAUUUUACUCGCUGCUGCAGAAUAACGCAAUGCAGGAUUGAAACGAACCUCAUGGAUAAGGCUGCUCUUUUUGCUCCAGACUCCUGCACAUCUCUGUUUCUCACCUCCUCCUGAUAUAGACCAGCCAUUCUGUCUCCUCCCUCUACUUUUUCAAAGAACAGCUGCGGUCAGCAGUUAGCAAAAGCUCAUUAGGAGGAUUAACAUUAAGCUGCCAAUGGAAAAAAAUGGUGCUUUCGCUUAGAUGUCUCCAUUUUUGCAGCCACAAGGGUAUAGGCUACCAUACCUGAUGGACUAACACCAAAACAGCCCUUUCUGCCCACUUGAUCCGGAGAGGCUGGAGGUAAAUAACAACAUUCAAGCAGUUUUUGAGCCAGCCCAGCUGCAGGUUGUGGAGGGAGUAAUGGAGUGGUCACCAGUGAGAGGAGCACAGGGACAUGGGCAAGUCUGCAAUAGAAAUAAAGCUGUUUGAUGAA